Non-coding RNA from Salvelinus sp. IW2-2015, 413 nucleotides. The record is from the annotation of a RefSeq genome assembly. NCBI's taxonomy places the organism in Eukaryota, Metazoa, Chordata, Actinopteri, Salmoniformes, Salmonidae.
CUUCUGUUGUACUAUUAGCCAGUUUGACUUCCAACCCCAGCCAUGUUGUUCAUCUGGUCAAUUAUUAUGUCCUCAGUAAUAGGUGACACCUAUGAGCAGAAUAUCGAGCCAAACCAACAUGAAGUGUAUGCAGAAGUGGGUAGUAAUGUUCUUCUUUCCUGCAACUACUCCUCAGCAGACAGUCUACUAUGGGAUAAACAGUCUCCAGGAUCAGCUCCCCAAUACCUUCUGCUCAUCCUGCACUACAGUGGGAUUGAACAGCGACCUGAUUCUCUUGACUCUCGCUUCUCUGGUAAACUGAACAAAGAUAAGACCCGUGUGGAUCUGGAGAUCUCCUCUGCUGAAGUAACAGACUCUGCUCUGUACUACUGUGCUCUGAGGCCCACAGUGACAGGAAACCCAGAAACACUGUA